UGGCAGUCAGGAAAUNCAGGCUGGUGCAGU
This 30-nucleotide non-coding RNA is filed under the name Rattus norvegicus (Norway rat). The record is from RNAcentral. Lineage: Eukaryota; Metazoa; Chordata; Mammalia; Rodentia; Muridae.